Long non-coding RNA from Esox lucius (northern pike), 1003 nucleotides. RefSeq lists it as uncharacterized. The transcript has 3 exons. NCBI's taxonomy places the organism in Eukaryota, Metazoa, Chordata, Actinopteri, Esociformes, Esocidae. The record is from RefSeq and is a predicted model, not a curated record.
UUUUUAACCUCUCAUUGAGGCAAGUGUAACAGGACACUGCCCUCCGUCGCCACAAGCUCAGCCCCUUGUAGGAGAAUAUAAGAAGGCAGAGACUCGGCUCAGAGUGUGUGUGAGAGACUGUGUGUGAGAGAGAGUACGUAUAAGAGAGUGUGUGUGUGUGUGUGUGUGUGUGAGAGAGAGACAGAGUGUGUGUCUGACUGCGUCAGAGGGGCUGCGGAACAGGGGGAACAGGGGAGCCAGAGAGGGAUAGAAAGCCAGCGAGGAAGGAAGAGAGAGACAAAUGUUGAGGCGGACAGAGGGGACAAAAGGAGAAAGUCAGCUUCGUGGUGCUUUGUAACAUGGGUUUGUAGUGUCUUUCGGUAGGGCUUAGCUGUGAGAGCGAGUCGGCAACGGUGUCUCCAGUAUGCUGGGAAACCACCUUUAGACCAGAGAGAGAGAAGGGAGAGAGAGAGAGAGAGAGAAUGUGUGUGCUGGCUUCACCACAGCGCUGUCACUUUAAGCCUGUUACUGAUUACACUCAGAAGAAUGCAACCAGAGGAGUAGAAGACAGACACACAAAGUGGAGAGAGACGUGUAAGGACGGAUUCUGAAAAGUCUGGUUUAGUUUAGUUUCAGAGAAACGGUAAAGCUUUGGAGGAGUUAGAGAGACAAUACUCUCUCUUUUUCUCAGAGAGAAGCCAACUGAAGGGGAACCCCAGAAUAUCUGAGAGGGGGAGGGGGUAACAGACAGAGUGAAAGAAAGAGAAAUAAAAGGAGAGAAAUGGAGAGAAAGGGAGAGGGGGACCCCUCAAGUCUGCUGAGAAGCUCCCAGUCGUCAGGAGGAAAUGAUCAGAGAGGGUAAACAGGAGCUCCUGGCAUGAACACAAUGACUACACAGACAAGAACAACUGUCUUACAGAAUGAAGACCACAACUACGAAGAUGGGGACUAUUCCAAGCAGCAGAACAGUUAACAUGGAUCCUUCAUCCGUAUCAAAGAGGACGGCCCUCGUCCAUCUUCCGGC